GCUGGGCGAGGUGGCGCGCGCCUGUAAUCCCUGCAGCUGGGGAGGCUGAGACAGGAGGAUUGUGAGUUCAAAGCUAGCCUCAGCAAAAGCGGGGCACUAAGCAACUCAGUGAGACCCUGUCUCUA
RNAcentral lists this small RNA (125 nucleotides) under Marmota monax (woodchuck). Lineage: Eukaryota; Metazoa; Chordata; Mammalia; Rodentia; Sciuridae. The record is from RNAcentral.